This 461-nucleotide ribosomal RNA is filed under the name uncultured bacterium. RNAcentral's name for it is "bacterial SSU rRNA". It matches the Rfam family "Bacterial small subunit ribosomal RNA", at positions 29 to 507 of the family's 1533-position model. The record is from RNAcentral.
AACGAACGCUGGCGGCGCGUUUUAAGCAUGCAAGUCGAGCGGCGAGGGGGCUUCGGUCCCCGAGAGCGGCGGACGGGUGAGUAACACGUGGGCAACCUGCCUUGAAGUGGGGGAUAACACCGGGAAAUCGGUGCUAAUACCGCAUAACAUACACAAACUGCAUGGUGAGUGUAUCAAAGGAGCAAUCCGCUUUAAGAUGGGCCCGCGGCUGAUUAGCUAGUUGGUGAGGUAACGGCUCACCAAGGCCACGAUGCGUAGCCGACCUGAGAGGGUGACCGGCCACAUUGGGACUGAGACACGGCCCAGACUCCUACGGGAGGCAGCAGUGGGGAAUAUUGCACAAUGGGGGAAACCCUGAUGCAGCAACGCCGCGUGAGUGAAGAAGGUCUUCGGAUCGUAAAGCUCUGUCUUUGGGGACGAUAAUGACGGUACCCAAAGAGGAAGCCACGGCUAACUACGUG